Frieseomelitta varia is the source of this 682-nucleotide long non-coding RNA. RefSeq lists it as uncharacterized. NCBI's taxonomy places the organism in Eukaryota, Metazoa, Arthropoda, Insecta, Hymenoptera, Apidae. The record is from RefSeq and is a predicted model, not a curated record. The transcript has 2 exons.
AAAUUUAAUUAAAAAUUGUAUCUAUUUUGUACAAAGUUUAUAUUAAUAAGGAGAAAAGGGAGAAAAUGAAGUUGGCACAGAUAAUGCAAAGAUGCCUGAGAAAUUUGGAAAAAACUGCAUAUGGUAGAUUGUUGAUUCGAUGGAAUUAUUUCAACGGAAGAAUUUAUUGAUCCUGUGUCGAACCGAUGAUAUAAUUAUCUGCUCCAACUGUUGAAGUUUACUUUAGUUUAUCUUUAGCCAGAAAUUAAUAGGAAAUAGAAAUCAAUUAUUCUAAUUUAGGAACAAUUAAACAACAGGUCUCGUCUUAAUGAUAUAGAAUGAACGAUAAAGUAAGGCAAUGAGAAUUACAGCAACAGAUUCUCCCUGCAGUGCGACAAAUAGUACAUGUGGCAGUCAUCAAGUAUGAUAUAUGUUCUGGCAUCAUUGCAUGUUUGUUUUCACGAAAAUAAUAAGUAUAACAUUCGUAUAUAGUCAUGUACAGUGACCACAUGCUACAAAAAUGAGUCAAUUAAAUACUUGCAGUAUCUAGUUCAAUUUGAAUAAAGAUCUAAAAAGAAGAAGGAUCAAUGUUAUAAAGUGCCAUUACAAGUGUCAUUUCUUUCUUACGUGAGAUUUAAACGCGGUAAGAAUAAUUUUCAAAACAUUUGAAUAUUUUCAGUAAUAAAACACGAAUUUACACUUA